This 402-nucleotide long non-coding RNA is filed under the name Physcomitrium patens. RNAcentral's name for it is "long non-coding RNA (PPAT_LNC000578)". Lineage: Eukaryota; Viridiplantae; Streptophyta; Bryopsida; Funariales; Funariaceae. The record is from RNAcentral.
UAAUUUAUCACAAUAAUAUGUAAUACUAUACUAUCUUAAAAGACAACAUUCAAUUGUUCCAUAAUUUAAUAACUGAAAUCCUUCACAUUUAACUGUUAUUUUUUCUAUACUUUUUUACAUAUAUCCAAACUUCAAAGACUCCUUCUCAAACCUCAAUAUUAUAAUUCUUCCAUUCAUAUCCAUUCUUCACCAAUACUUCAAUUUUUUACUUAUAAUUCUCUAUUGUAUUCAUCCACAAUAAAUUCCAUACUUCAUAUACAAUAUUAAAUCUCUUUUUUAUUCCAAAAUUUUACUUCAAAUUAUUUAGAAACUAUCCAUUACUCUUCAACUACAAAAAAACAAAGAGGUAGUACCAAGCUUAUCCCAGCUCAUAACUAUCAUAGUCUAGCCCCUCCUACUUCA